Molecule: long non-coding RNA, 535 nt
Filed under: Monodelphis domestica (gray short-tailed opossum)
Lineage: Eukaryota; Metazoa; Chordata; Mammalia; Didelphimorphia; Didelphidae
Description: lncRNA (ENSMODG00000031602.2)
Source: RNAcentral
UAAGUCACUGUAGUAUCUUUGCCAAAAAAACCCCAAAUGAGGUCCCAAAGAGUCAGACAUGACUGAACAACAACAACAACAACUUCUAUUAAAUCUGUUACCAAUUUGGUGAGCCCUUGGGAGCUGAGGUUACUAGGCUGCCUAAGGAGAAGCAAACAAACCCUGGCCAACAACAGAGAAGGUCAAAGUUCUUGUGCUGAUCAGAGGCCAGAGGCCUAGACAAAAUAACCUCACAUCACGCAAGAGACCACCUGCUCCAAAACGGAAGUCCAAAAAGAAUCAAGAGAGACCGCCCUCAAAAGCCUUUGAAUCAGCUUAAAUACCUUCUCAAUCUCGGCCCAGGUUGUACCUUAUUGGAUGUCCAGUUUUUUGACAGCAAACCUGCAGGCUGAGGCCAAGUAGGUGAAGGUUUUUAACUGUUGGGGCCAAUGAGGUUGUCAGAUCAAGCAUGGAAAUUGGAGAAAACUAGGUAAGAUUUCAGGUCAGGUCAGUAAGGUUUCAAUGGGCAGGGAAUACUAUUAAUAAUUAUAAUACU